RNAcentral lists this ribosomal RNA (253 nucleotides) under uncultured Acidobacteriota bacterium. Its description in RNAcentral is "uncultured Acidobacteria bacterium partial 16S ribosomal RNA". It matches the Rfam family "Bacterial small subunit ribosomal RNA", at positions 524 to 776 of the family's 1533-position model. The record is from RNAcentral. Lineage: Bacteria; Pseudomonadati; Acidobacteriota.
UACGUAGGGGGCAAGCGUUGUUCGGAUUUACUGGGCGUAAAGGGCGCGUAGGCGGCGUGGUAAGUCACUUGUGAAAUCUCCGGGCUCAACUCGGAACGGUCAAGUGAUACUGCUGUGCUAGAGUGCGGAAGGGGCUACUGGAAUUCUCGGUGUAGCGGUGAAAUGCGUAGAUAUCGAGAGGAACACCUGAGGCGAAGGCGGGUAGCUGGGCCGACACUGACGCUGAUGCGCGAAAGCUAGGGGAGCGAACGGG